Long non-coding RNA from Mustela lutreola (European mink), 1437 nucleotides. RefSeq lists it as uncharacterized. NCBI's taxonomy places the organism in Eukaryota, Metazoa, Chordata, Mammalia, Carnivora, Mustelidae. The record is from RefSeq and is a predicted model, not a curated record. The transcript has 5 exons.
GACACUUAAGGCCCUGAUGCAGGGCCCAGCCCAUGCGGGACAGCCCUCUCCGCUAAUUGUCCAUUGGCUGCCGCCCGCCGUCCUGCCGGCGUCUCUGGGCUCAUUAGGAAAGGGAAGAGGGGGGUCUGGGAAGAGCCUCCUGCAGCUCCAGCGGGCUUCCGAGAUUUUUAUCACACUGGACAGCACAGUUACAUUCAUUCUGCUAAAGGAGGAUCAAAACAAGAGGUCAGCAAACUAUGGCCCAUGGAUCCAGUGCGGCCCACCACCUACUUUCACAGAGUGCAGAGGAAGCCUUGAAAAUGGAACUUCUCCAUAAUGCCUGCAUCUCCACUCCUCCUGGGCUUUGGAAGGAGUCUGAGCGGCGAGGGAUUCUGAAGCUUAAGAUGUAGAAGGCAGCCAGGUCUGGGACCCAACCUGACUGAAGUUUACUGAAUACGGGCCUCAGAUGAAAAUCAAGACCAAUGAAAAUGCUGAACGAGGAAGCUACUGCUCACUUCACAAAAAGAUUUGUCCUUGACCAGAUGACGCUCCUGGUGCAUUUCUGACAACAGUUGAUUUAUAAGAGGUGGAUAAUAAUAGAGCAAGAAAAACAAUGGAGUGGGGAUGGAAAGAAGUGAGUUUUAUUCUGGGCUGCGUUAUCCUCAAGCUGUGUGGCAUCGUAUGGUAAAGUAAUUUCUCCAUGUCUUCAUUUUCCUACUGUCAAAGGAGGGAGAGGCUUGGAAGAAAUGGCUUCCCAGGUGUAGCCCAGCUCUGACCCUUCUAAAGCUCAUCCACCAAAUGCCAAUAUUUCUCCAUGCACCCUUCUAAAGAUUUAAAUUCAAUCUCUUCACCAGUGGCCAAGAGGACCCUGGAGAUAAGUGCAGCAACUUUUCUACAGGUGAAACACACGAUGUUUCAUGCAUUGCAUUGACUUGGAAACUUCCGUGUUUUUCAUCUAAGAACGGGGAGUUCUGAAGCAAAUGAGCACAACAGGGAAUAAGCCAUCCCACACAGGAAGCUGGGCAAUGGUCUCAAGACAAUACAUUCACACAAGUCCCGAGGCUGUGCGUCCACUUGUCCAGUGGUACGAUCUGAAGUGAAGUCCAUGAAGGACCUUUGUGAACAGAAGAUUUGGCUUUCCUCAUGAAGGAGGAGUUGCUCAGAAAAGGGCCACAUGUUAUAAUUUCUUGUCCCUCCUACCCUACUUUAUACAAAAUUGGUGCUUGAGGGGCACCUGGGUGGCUCAGUAGUUUAGGCCUCUGCCUUCAACUCAGAUAAUGAUCUCAGGAUCCUGGGAUUGAGCCCCGCAUCGGGCUCUCUGCUCGGCAGGGAGCCUGCUUCCCUCUUUCUCUGUCUGACUCUCUGCCUACAUGUGAUGUCUCUCUCCCUCUCUGUCAAACAAAUAAAUAAGAUCUUUAAAAAAAAAAAAAAAAAAAAGAAUUGGUGCUUAGCUAGGGC